AAGCCUGAUGCAGCAACGCCGCGUGAACGAUGAAGGUCUUCGGAUCGUAAAGUUCUGUUGCAGGGGAAGAUAAUGACGGUACCCUGUGAGGAAGCCCCGGCUAACUACGUGCCAGCAGCCGCGGUAAUACGUAGGGGGCUAGCGUUAUCCGGAUUUACUGGGCGUAAAGGGUGCGUAGGUGGUCCUUCAAGUCGGUGGUUAAAGGCUACGGCUCAACCGUAGUAAGCCGCCGAAACUGGAGGACUUGAGUGCAGGAGAGGAAAGUGGAAUUCCCAGUGUAGCGGUGAAAUGCGUAGAUAUUGGGAGGAACACCAGUAGCGAAGGCGGCUUUCUGGACUGCAACUGACACUGAGGCACGAAAGCGUGGGUAGCAAACAGGAUUAGAUACCCUGGUAGUCCACGCUGUAAACGAUGAGUACUAGGUGUCGGGGGUUACCCCCCUCGGUGCCGCAGCUAACGCAUUAAGUACUCCGCCUGGGGAGUACGCACGCAAGUGUGAAACUCAAAGGAAUUGACGGGGACCCGCACAAGUAGCGGAGCUGUGGUUUAAUUCGAGCACGCGAAGAACCU
Molecule: ribosomal RNA, 570 nt
Filed under: Peptostreptococcus stomatis
Lineage: Bacteria; Bacillati; Bacillota; Clostridia; Peptostreptococcales; Peptostreptococcaceae
Description: bacterial SSU rRNA
Rfam family: Bacterial small subunit ribosomal RNA
Source: RNAcentral